Long non-coding RNA from Columba livia (rock pigeon), 2983 nucleotides. RefSeq lists it as uncharacterized. The record is from RefSeq and is a predicted model, not a curated record. Lineage: Eukaryota; Metazoa; Chordata; Aves; Columbiformes; Columbidae. The transcript is spliced from 3 exons.
AGGAGCGGGGAGGCAAGCGCGAGGAUUGGCGGUGGAGGCUGUCGGUUUGGGUGAGGCCCGCCCCCAUGGCUGAGGGGGUGGGCGGGAUGCGGGGGUCCCUGCGGUGGCACCGGUGUCGCCUCGACGAACAGGGUAAUGGGAGUGCAGGUUCCCCGCCAGUUGUGUGGCUGCCGGCGAGGAGGGUUCCUCGGGCCUUCUCGCUCCCCAGAGUGUCCCAUAGUCCCUGAACAAGUCCAGCAGCCCCGAGGUGGCACUGGGGAGUGUGGGGCUGGAGCGGGCUGGCAGGCAUCGGGCCCUGGAGCCUGCACUCGAGGUGAGGUGAUGGGAGAGGCACCUCAGACAGACGUGGUCUGUCAGGGUCUUCAGUGCUGCCCCUUGACAGCCAGAGCUCCCUGCCUUGUGCUUGUCCUGGUGCCUUCCCUGUCCAAACAGCUCCCGUGACAUCUCUUCAGACAGGACCAAGUCCACUCUGCUCUGUGAACCUCAGCCACAUCUCUGACCUGUGUUCUCCCUGACCGGAGCCUUUCCUGAUGUGCCACCGCCACUUCCUCAACUUUUGCUGGCUCAGGGCAUUGUCUUAUCAGUUCGGGAUAAUUUUAUCAGUUUGGACUUUGCAGUUAAGCCUGGGCCUCACCUCUGCUCUCACCAGAGGUGUGUCUCGCCAGCCAGGGCUGGGAUCUCUCUGCUCUGCUCACCUUGGGACUGCGGGGGAAAAGGAACAGAGGUGGCUUGUCUUGCCUCCUCCUUCCCCACUUCGAGGACUGAGAUAAAGGGGAAAAACACGGCAAGAGAAAUUCAGACAAAGUUCAGUGAGGUGAAGUGAGAUGGAUUCUGUAAUGCAUUUGAUGAGAUAUCAAAUCCUAUCUGUUAUCCCAGGGGAAUCCUAGAUACAUCAAGCCCUGUAAACUACAUCAUCAGCAUCUUCCUCUGGAAGACAUCAUCACGCUAAUCCAUUUGUCCUAGCAGACAAAUGAUUAAAGUUUGAAAACUGAAUUAUACAUGUUGCUGCAACAGCGUAAACACAGUAUAAUGGCUCUCCUCUGUUACACCUGUAACUGCUGUUACAAUCGCUUUAAUGAGCUUUUAGCCUCGUCAUCCCAAGAGAAAAGAUCAUCACAUGACACUGUCUGCUGUAAAGGUGUUCGUGGUGCUGCUGCUGGCCCAGCACCCGCUCUGAGGAGCUGCACGGGAGGCCACAGUUGUGCUGACAGUACCUGCUGGCAAUAACCUCUCAGACGGCAACAGGAAAAAAAACCCACAAAAAUCCCCAGAAGAAUGUUUUGCAGAAGCAGGCUUGACAGACUUUAAAAGGACGCUGGAGAUUUGGGUGAGUAUGCAGGUGAUAUCAUUCUGUCCCUCUGCGCGGAUCCACUCCCAGAACUGCGAUGUAGCUAUGGCAGCGCAUUGUACUCGUGGGAUACUGACUGUUUAUGUCUCUUCCACAAAUCUUAAAACCUGUCCUUACAGAAUUUGUGUGUGGGUUUUUUGUUUGUUUGUUUUGUUAUUGUUUUGUUGUUGUUUUUUUAUUUUUUUGUAUUUUGUGCCUGUGUGCACAGUUCUGCAGUGAACUCAUCCCAAAGAGAUCUACGAGCUCCUGGCAUCUGCAUGUCCUCUGCCAGUGUUUGUGGGAAGCAGAGGGACUCAGUUUGUGUUCCCAGGCAUCCGGACUUCCCUAGGGCUGCAAGGCAUUCCUCAUCCCUGAGCUCUGCCUGCUAAUUUUCUUCCUCUCCAGGCUCUCAGUCCUUAAAAGAUUCACCAGUGAGAGGAGCCAGCAGGAUCACAACAGGUCUGGUCGACAAGGGCCAUGUCUGGGACUUUGCUGCAGCUCAGGAUGCUGUGCCUUGCCCCGCUGUGCAGUGCCAUCUCCUGGAAAGCUGUGCCAGAGCUGCUCACAUCACAACCAGAGUUUUGCUCCUGAGGCUGUUGCCUCUCACUGCUGCAAAGUUCAUCUCCUGACCCAUCAGGAGUCCCCCACCAAACUGCUCUUCCUCCAGCAGGUAUGAAGGACACUGCUCGCCCUCACUUGUGAGGUACCUUGUGGGAGAAAGUUCCCGCAUGGCUUUUUCCCUGCUCUUGAUGCUGAAUACAAAUCUCUAGGUACAAAAAGAACAGCAGAGAAGCACAAAUGAACAUCUGUAGAUGUUACUCCUCAGCUUUUGUUCCGUUUGGGCACCAGUUCCCCGUUCAGCCGAAUGUCUGCAUAUACAUUCGCCCUCUAAGUGCCCUGUUAACCUCUUUUUUCCUUGGUUUUGACUUUAAGGGACACUUUUCUCUCUCCCUCUGCAAGUUUGAUGAUCUCAUCAUGAGCAACAACCAAGCCCCUCAUCACAGUGCUCACCCUGUAUUUAAAAUAUUGCUACAUCUUUUUAAUGAGAAAAAAAUGUGUACGCGGAACUUGCACCUGAAUGCUGCUGGCUUGACUAAGCUCUAUAUUUAUCCUGAAAAGACAAGAAAAAUGGGUGGUUCCAAGAGCAACAUGUUUACUCCUAUGAAACAGUAACACAGCUUAAGUGCUUAGUCACUGAAAAAAUGCACACUGCAAUUUAAAGCCAAAGGCUGGUAUUUCAUCCAUCAUUUAGGCUAUUGUGGCACCUCCUGAGCAGCUGGGAGAUGGUGAUACUUUGGUAAUCCAGCACACACAAUGAAAUAACUAGUGCUCCAAGGUAAGGCUGUAAAAGCUGUGAUUUGAAAAAGACCAUAAUUAUGUAAAUACAAGGCCACAAUGUUCAAAAACAAGAAGAAAAGCCACCCUGACACAUGGCUGUUCACAGCUCCAUUUGGCCAUUUCUCAGUGAGGAUUCUGUGUUGCAGACUUGUCAUGAACUCACCCAGGAGCACACCAACGAACUGAAACCGCUUGGUUAGCAAAAAAGUAUUUUUUAUUAAAAUUCAUGUUUGUAAAGGAGAAAUCAUUACGCAAAUGAGGUAAACCAACACAUGUGACAUAGUUUUCUCUUUAAAAAUAAAUUUCAAUUGAGCAAUU